This 459-nucleotide ribosomal RNA is filed under the name uncultured bacterium. RNAcentral describes it as "bacterial SSU rRNA". It matches the Rfam family "Bacterial small subunit ribosomal RNA", at positions 34 to 507 of the family's 1533-position model. The record is from RNAcentral.
CGCUGGCGGCGUGCCUAACACAUGCAAGUCGAACGGGGUUGUUCCUUCGGGGACAACUUAGUGGCGAACGGGUGAGUAACGCGUGAGGAACCUGCCUUUCAGUGGGGGGACAACAGUUGGAAACGACUGCUAAUACCGCAUAAUGUAGCGAGACCGCAUGAUCUUGCUACCAAAGCUUUAUGUGCUGAGAGAUGGCCUCGCGUCUGAUUAGCUAGUUGGUGAGGUAAACGGCUCACCAAGGCGACGAUCAGUAGCCGGUCUGAGAGGAUGAACGGCCACAUUGGGACUGAGAUACGGCCCAGACUCCUACGGGAGGCAGCAGUGGGGAAUAUUGGGCAAUGGGGGAAACCCUGACCCAGCAACGCCGCGUGAAGGAAGAAGGCCCUCGGGUUGUAAACUUCUUUUACCAGGGACGAAGAACGUGACGGUACCUGGAGAAAAGCCACGGCUAACUACGUG